GCGGAACGGAGCAAUCCGGUCC
This 22-nucleotide small RNA is filed under the name Arabidopsis thaliana (thale cress). RNAcentral's name for it is "Ath_wt_05366". Lineage: Eukaryota; Viridiplantae; Streptophyta; Magnoliopsida; Brassicales; Brassicaceae. The record is from RNAcentral.